AUGAACGCUAGCGGGAGGCCUAACACAUGCCAGCCGAGCGGUAUUGUUUCUUCGGACAUGAGAGAGCGGCGUACGGGUGCGUAACACGUGUGCAACCUGCCUUUAUCUGGGGGAUAGCCUUUCGAAAGGAAGAUUAAUACUCCAUAAUAUAUUGAACGGCGUCGUUUAAUAUUGAAAGCUCCGGCGGAUAGAGAUGGGCACGCGCAAGAUUAGCUAGUUGGUGAGGUAACGGCUCACCAAGGCGAUGAUCUUUAGGGGGCCUGAGAGGGUGAUCCCCCACACUGGUACUGAGACACGGACCAGACUCCUACGGGAGGCAGCAGUGAGGAAUAUUGGUCAAUGGGUGCAAGCCUGAACCAGCCAUCCCGUGUGAAGGACGACUGCCCUAUGGGUUGUAAACUUCUUUUGUAUAGGGAUAAACCUACCCUCGAGAGGGUAGCUGAAGGUACUAUACGAAUAAGCACCGGCUAACUCCGUG
RNAcentral lists this ribosomal RNA (478 nucleotides) under uncultured bacterium. Its description in RNAcentral is "partial 16S ribosomal RNA". It matches the Rfam family "Bacterial small subunit ribosomal RNA", at positions 29 to 507 of the family's 1533-position model. The record is from RNAcentral.